GCGAGUUAAAGGGAAGUCUUGACACGGCUGCAAAUCGUAGUCCAUUCGGUUCACGUGCACGCACCUCUGUGUGGUGUGCGUGUGUUUUGCAUAGAAAUGUUCGCAACAAGACGAGGAAAUUUUAGCUGCAUUUUUAAUUUGCAUGCGCACAAAAACCGCAAUUUGGUCAAGCACAUAACGUUUUUAAUACCCUCUAACUGCAGUGAAAAGAAAACUUCAGCCAAACUAUACUCUAUAGACUGUCGCCCUGUUUCAGAGUCGCAUGAAAAAUUCACGAACAGAUUCCGCCUGGUGCGCACAUUUAAAAUGCACUUUGCCGCUGGAGAAAUAUUCAAAAUAGAAAUGUGAGGGAAAAUAUUUUUAGCGAUAUAGCGAAAUGCACGCUGCAAGUGAAUGCUUUAAAGUGCAUCAAUUUAAUAAUGCAAACAUGCAGCAAGUUGCAUUAACUUUUGCCGCGCAGGCGGCAUUAAAAUUUGCAUAAUUGCUGCGAGUCA
Molecule: long non-coding RNA, 494 nt
Organism: Drosophila montana
Lineage: Eukaryota; Metazoa; Arthropoda; Insecta; Diptera; Drosophilidae
Exons: 3
Source: RefSeq, a predicted model, not a curated record